AUUUAUUUUUUUUCAACUCCGGCAAAUCAAAUAUUACAAAGUAUAAAAUUUUUUCCACCAAAUUAUUUUUUUACAAAAAAUUAUUUUUCAUAAUUUUACGUGCAACCAAACACCCUCUCAACUAUCUUACAUUUAGCUUUGACAAUCUAAUCAUUAAAAAAUUUAAUUUUAUUACCUAACUUUUUUAUUUGUAGCUUUUUAACUUUAAAAUUUGAAUACAUCGUUUAUCUUUACAGAUUUAAUUAUUAUAUUUUAUGCGAUUUACGUAAUUAUAAAUUAAUUAAAAUAAGAAAUUUAGUUUAAAUUUUGUACGAAGAGCUAGUAAAUUAUUUAAAUUAAAUAAAUUGAAAGAUUAGAUGCGAAACUAAAAUUUUGAAAGGUUAAAUAGCUAGUUAAAAUAGUCUAUAGUUCAAAUAAGUAUUAUACAUUUUUACCAAAUUUUUUAAUAAAGCGACACCUACUGCCCUAAAUAGAUAUCUAAAUUACAA
This 488-nucleotide long non-coding RNA is filed under the name Ananas comosus (pineapple). Its description in RNAcentral is "long non-coding RNA (ACOM_LNC019302)". The record is from RNAcentral. Lineage: Eukaryota; Viridiplantae; Streptophyta; Magnoliopsida; Poales; Bromeliaceae.